RNAcentral lists this ribosomal RNA (676 nucleotides) under uncultured Alphaproteobacteria bacterium. RNAcentral's name for it is "bacterial SSU rRNA". It matches the Rfam family "Bacterial small subunit ribosomal RNA", at positions 94 to 804 of the family's 1533-position model. The record is from RNAcentral. Lineage: Bacteria; Pseudomonadati; Pseudomonadota; Alphaproteobacteria.
AGUGGCAGACGGGUGCGUAACGCGUGGGAACCUGCCCUUUAGUAAGGAAUAACUUUAGGAAACUGAAGCUAAUACCUUAUAAUCCCUUCGGGGGAAAGCUUUAUGCGCUAAUGGAUGGGCCCGCGUUAGAUUAGCUUGUUGGUGAGGUAAAGGCUCACCAAGGCUACGAUCUAUAGCUGGUCUGAGAGGAUGAUCAGCCACACUGGGACUGAGACACGGCCCAGACUCCUACGGGAGGCAGCAGUGGGGAAUAUUGGACAAUGGGGGCAACCCUGAUCCAGCGAUGCCGCGUGAGUGAUGAAGGCCCUAGGGUUGUAAAACUCUUUCGCCAGGGAAGAUAAUGACGGUACCUGGUAAAGAAGAUCCGGCUAACUCCGUGCCAGCAGCCGCGGUAAUACGGAGGGAUCUAGCGUUACUCGGAAUAACUGGGCGUAAAGCGAGCGUAGGCGGAUUUGUAAGUUGGAGGUGAAAUCCCAGGGCUUAACCCUGGAACUGCCUUCAAAACUACAUUUCUUGAGUUUGGUAGAGGAGAGUGGAAUUCCUAGUGUAGAGGUGAAAUUCGUAGAUAUUAGGAGGAACACCAGUGGCGAAGGCGACUCUCUGGGCCAAUACUGACGCUGAGGUUCGAAAGCGUGGGUAGCGAACAGGAUUAGAUACCCUGGUAGUCCACGCAGUA